RNAcentral lists this ribosomal RNA (253 nucleotides) under uncultured bacterium. RNAcentral describes it as "partial 16S ribosomal RNA". It matches the Rfam family "Bacterial small subunit ribosomal RNA", at positions 524 to 776 of the family's 1533-position model. The record is from RNAcentral.
UACGGAAGGGGCAAACGUUGUUCGGAUUCACUGGGCGUAAAGCGACCGCAGGCGGUUUAUUAAGUCAGAUGUGAAAGCCCCGCGCUCAACGUGGGAACUGCAUUUGAAACUGGUAAACUAGAGUUCGAGAGAGGAAAAUGGAAUUCCAAGUGUAGAGGUGAAAUUCGUAGAUAUUUGGAGGAACAUCAGAGGCGAAGGCGAUUUUCUGGCUCGAUACUGACGCUGAGGUGCGAAAGUGUGGGGAGCAAACAGG